GCGGGGGUUAGUGGCGAACGGGUGAGUAACACGUGAGUAACCUGCCCUUAACUCUGGGAUAAGCCUUGGAAACGGGGUCUAAUACUGGAUAUUGACUUUACCUCGCAUGGGGUUUUGUUGAAAGAUUUAUUGGUUUUGGAUGGACUCGCGGCCUAUCAGCUUGUUGGUGAGGUAAUGGCUCACCAAGGCGACGACGGGUAGCCGGCCUGAGAGGGUGACCGGCCACACUGGGACUGAGACACGGCCCAGACUCCUACGGGAGGCAGCAGUGGGGAAUAUUGCACAAUGGGCGAAAGCCUGAUGCAGCGACGCCGCGUGAGGGAUGACGGCCUUCGGGUUGUAAACCUCUUUCAGUAGGGAACAAGGCCAGCAUUUUUGUUGGUUGAGGGUACUUGCAGAAGAAGCGCCGGCUAACUACGUGCCAGCAGCCGCGGUAAUACGUAGGGCGCAAGCGUUAUCCGGAAUUAUUGGGCGUAAAGAGCUCGUAGGCGGUUUGUCGCGUCUGCCGUGAAAGUCCGGGGCUCAACUCCGGAUCUGCGGUGGGUACGGGCAGACUAGAGUGAUGUAGGGGAGACUGGAAUUCCUGGUGUAGCGGUGAAAUGCGCAGAUAUCAGGAGGAACACCGAUGGCGAAGGCAGGUCUCUGGGCAUUAACUGACGCUGAGGAGCGAAAGCAUGGGGAGCGAACAGGAUUAGAUACCCUGGUAGUCCAUGCCGUAAACGUUGGGCACUAG
RNAcentral lists this ribosomal RNA (733 nucleotides) under Arthrobacter sp. M239_3. RNAcentral describes it as "bacterial SSU rRNA". It matches the Rfam family "Bacterial small subunit ribosomal RNA", at positions 85 to 819 of the family's 1533-position model. The record is from RNAcentral. Lineage: Bacteria; Bacillati; Actinomycetota; Actinomycetes; Micrococcales; Micrococcaceae.